RNAcentral lists this transfer RNA (64 nucleotides) under Pseudo-nitzschia fraudulenta. Lineage: Eukaryota; Bacillariophyta; Bacillariophyceae; Bacillariales; Bacillariaceae. The record is from RNAcentral.
GGUGGAUGUCGGAUAAUUCAGGCGGGAUCCUGGUGGGGUGCAUCGGGAUCAACCACGCUAGCUU